This 66-nucleotide transfer RNA is filed under the name Chattonella subsalsa. It matches the Rfam family "tRNA", at positions 6 to 65 of the family's 71-position model. Rfam says of the family: Transfer RNA (tRNA) molecules are approximately 80 nucleotides in length. Their secondary structure includes four short double-helical elements and three loops (D, anti-codon, and T loops). Further hydrogen bonds mediate the characteristic L-shaped molecular structure. tRNAs have two regions of fundamental functional importance: the anti-codon, which is responsible for specific mRNA codon recognition, and the 3' end, to which the tRNAs corresponding amino acid is attached (by aminoacyl-tRNA synthetases). tRNAs cope with the degeneracy of the genetic code in two manners: having more than one tRNA (with a specific anti-codon) for a particular amino acid; and 'wobble' base-pairing, i.e. permitting non-standard base-pairing at the 3rd anti-codon position. Lineage: Eukaryota; Raphidophyceae; Chattonellales; Chattonellaceae. The record is from RNAcentral.
AGUAGAGCAGUCUGGUAGCUCGUUGGGCUCAUAACCCGAAGGUCGGUGGUUCAAAUCCAUUCUCCG